GGGGAAUAUUGGACAAUGGGCGAAAGCCUGAUCCAGCAACGCCGCGUGAGGGAUGAAUGCCUUCGGGUUGUAAACCUCUUUCAGCGGGGACGAAGCGCAAGUGACGGUACCCGCAGAAGAAGCACCGGCCAACUACGUGCCAGCAGCCGCGGUAAUACGUAGGGUGCGAGCGUUGUCCGGAAUUAUUGGGCGUAAAGGGCUCGUAGGCGGUCUGUCGCGUCGGGAGUGAAAACACGGGGCUUAACUCCGUGCCUGCUUCCGAUACGGGCAGACUAGAGGUAUGCAGGGGAGAACGGAAUUCCUGGUGUAGCGGUGAAAUGCGCAGAUAUCAGGAGGAACACCGGUGGCGAAGGCGGUUCUCUGGGCAUUACCUGACGCUGAGGAGCGAAAGUGUGGGGAGCGAAC
This 405-nucleotide ribosomal RNA is filed under the name uncultured bacterium. RNAcentral describes it as "bacterial SSU rRNA". It matches the Rfam family "Bacterial small subunit ribosomal RNA", at positions 356 to 773 of the family's 1533-position model. The record is from RNAcentral.